RNAcentral lists this long non-coding RNA (704 nucleotides) under Marmota monax (woodchuck). The record is from RNAcentral. Lineage: Eukaryota; Metazoa; Chordata; Mammalia; Rodentia; Sciuridae.
GUACAUCAGUGUCCUUCUGUGAACAGUUUCUGAACAUCCACAGAAGUAUUAGUGUCAGGCAUACAUGUAUGUUAAAGCCAGAGAAACCUGAAGGGUUUUCAGGUUUUCCUGAAAAGGUCAGAAAAGUCAUCCAGCCAUCCAGAAUGUCAUCAUGAAUAUUAGUAAAACCACCUAGUUUUGUGGCCCUUAUGCUUGCAGGACAGGACAUGGUUCAGGGAGGGUGAACUUAGACUCUCUGAUUUGAGGCAAUAAAACUAGAUCCAGGCAAACCAAGGUGGCUAGAACUCCCAGGACAGAGGUAGAGAGAACGGAGCUGCACAGAGAGAAAAUCCCAGAUCUGCCGAGGUCCCUUUGGGAAAUGCAGUAGAAUCUACCAUUGACUUCUUAUAGCAGGGAGUAUGGAUUCAUGUUAUCUUGCAGGAAUGGGUGACCAUAUGAAAAUUAUUUUUGUUUUGUUUUGUCAUCAAGGAAAAACACAGUGGGACUUGACUUGUAACAUACAAUUCAGUAGCCACUAGAUACAUUUGACUAUUUAAAUUUAAAUUAAUUAAAAGUAAUUUGAGUUUAAUAACUCAGUUCCUCAGUUGCAUUAGCUGCAUUUCAGGAGCCCAGUAGCAGCAGGUGCUAGUGGUCCCACACAGGGCAGCAGAGAUGAGGAUCAUCUCCAUCAUUGUGAAAAGUCCCACCUGUAAACUGCUAGAAAC